GAUGAACGCUGGCGGCGUGCUUAACACAUGCAAGUCGAACGGAACGCCAAGGAAAGAGUUUUCGGACAAUGGAAUUGGUUGUUUAGUGGCGGACGGGUGAGUAACGCGUGAGUAACCUGCCUUGGAGUGGGGAAGUAACACAGUGAAACUAGUGCUAAUACCGCCAUGACAUAUUGGUGGUCGCAUGGCACUGAUAUCAAAGAAUUUAUUCGCUCUGAGAUGGAC
RNAcentral lists this ribosomal RNA (225 nucleotides) under uncultured bacterium. RNAcentral describes it as "partial 16S ribosomal RNA". It matches the Rfam family "Bacterial small subunit ribosomal RNA", at positions 28 to 230 of the family's 1533-position model. The record is from RNAcentral.